AAGGGAACGCUGGUCCAACCAGCAUCCUCCAACCCAAUGUGUACCCGCCUUGUUGCCUCGGCGUGCCUGCGUCGUCCGCGGCGCUGCCGGCUCCGGCUGGAUAGCGCACGCCAGAGGGAUUUCAAACUCCAGCUUUAACGAGUGCGGUCUGAGCUAUAAUCAAAUAAGUUA
Molecule: unclassified non-coding RNA, 171 nt
Filed under: uncultured Ascomycota
Lineage: Eukaryota; Fungi; Ascomycota
Description: sequence contains ITS1
Source: RNAcentral